GGCACUUGUUGUAGGAUUUCAUUCAUUUGAACCAGGCAGGACAGAUCAUCCAUGGAGACAGAACACAGAUUGGGGCUUUCCAGGGGCUGAGGGGAGGGGAGAAUGGGAGUGACUGUGGCAGGGGUGUGAGGUUUCCUUUUAGGGUGAUGAAAAACUUCUGGAACUAGACAGUGAUGGUGACCAUUUAACACUGAGACCAUGCUUACUGCCUCUCCAUUGUAUGCUUCAAAGCCUUAUGUAAUGUAUAUUUUACUAUAUAUUUUUUUUUUUUUAAAUGACCACUGGUGGGUACAUGUCCCAGCUAAGUUUUUAAAACUGAGUGAAAACCCUGUGCUUGGCUGGGUUUGGGGCUCUUAUUUGGGUCCUGAGUGAUUCCAGGUUUUUUUUUUUUUUUUUUUUUGACAGGCAGAUUUAGACAGUGAGAGAGAGACAGAGAGAAAGGUCUUCCUUUCGUUGGUUCACCCCUUAAAUGGCUGCUACAGCCGGCAUGCCGCGCUGAUCUGAAGCCAGGAGCCAGGUGCCUCCUCCUGGUCUCUCAUGCAGGUGCAGGACCCAAGCACUUGGGCCAUCCUCCACUGCCCUCCUGGGCCACAACAGAGAGCUGGACUGGAAGAGAAGCAACCAGAACUAGAACCAGGUGCCCCAACCGGGACUAGAACCCGGGGUGCCGGCGCCACAGGUGGAGGAUUAGCCUAGUGAGCCGCGGCGCCGGCCUCCAGGGACUCUACUUCAUUUUCCAUUGCAGAGAGAGCAGAAUCACCAAAGGCCGCCUGUUCUGUCCAGUGUGCUCUGUGACCCUGACCAGCCUCAGGGGAGGCAGGCAGCAGAAAUUCUCCGCACUCGUCCCAGGCCAUGUGGCUGGAUGGACACAGCGCGGCUGCAAUGCUCUCGUUCUGCACGGUUUCCUGCACUGAUGCUUCAUGGGAGGAGCGCUGCGUGCACCGCUGUUUCCGGGAGGGGGAGGGGGAUGUGUUCCACAGCCCGGCCAGAGGCUUGGGAAGGAUCUGUGUGCCGCAAGCCUGUGGGCCGGCGGCUGCCUGUUCCGGUUUGGGAGAGGAAGUGGACACACGAGCCCAUCCGUUUGUCCUGAUCCCGGUAACAAGAUCUCCCCUUACCGCAGGAAUAGAAUAACAGCUUGUAAACCAAGAAGGACGCCAGCCCAGCUGUCAGAGUGCUGGUCAGGAAGCAACUGGUGGUGCUGAGGGAACAAGGAGUUGACCCUCAUCUUGUGCAGCCAUGGACCAUGGCUCUACCUGACUUGCAGGGAGGCAGCCUGAAGCCUGCUCCCAAAUCUUGUCCGGGUCUUCUCUCACUGGCCAAGAGAGCAAAGGUUGGUGGCAAAAAGGAACAGGCUGGAGCUCCUGGCUCCCGGCUUUGGCUUGGCACAACCCUGGCUGUUAUGGCCAUUUUGUGAGUGAACCAGCAAAUAGAGGAUCUUUCUCUUCCUUCUCCAAUCUUUCUUUGUCACUCUGCCUUUCACAUAAGUAAAUAAUAAAUCUUAAAAAUAAGAAUUCA
This 1515-nucleotide long non-coding RNA is filed under the name Oryctolagus cuniculus (rabbit). RNAcentral describes it as "lncRNA (ENSOCUG00000034174.1)". The record is from RNAcentral. Lineage: Eukaryota; Metazoa; Chordata; Mammalia; Lagomorpha; Leporidae.